This 457-nucleotide ribosomal RNA is filed under the name uncultured bacterium. RNAcentral's name for it is "bacterial SSU rRNA". It matches the Rfam family "Bacterial small subunit ribosomal RNA", at positions 58 to 518 of the family's 1533-position model. The record is from RNAcentral.
CAAGUCGAACGGAAUUAACGCUGAGCGAGCUGCUCAAGUUCUUGUUAAAUUUAGUGGCGGACGGUGAGUAACGCGUGGUAACCUGCCUUACACUGGGGGACAACAGUUGGAAACGACUGCUAAUACCGCAUAAGCGCACAGAUCGCAUGAUUCAGUGUGAAAAACUCCGGUGGUGUAAGAUGGACCCCGCGUCUGAUUAGCUAGUUGGUGAGGUAACGGCCCACCAAGGCGACGAUCAGUAGCCGGCCUGAGAGGGUGAACGGCCACAUUGGGACUGAGACACGGCCCAAACUCCUACGGGAGGCAGCAGUAGGGAAUAUUGCACAAUGGGGGAAACCCUGAUGCAAGCAACGCCGCGUGAGUGAAGAAGUAUUUCGGUAUGUAAAGCUCUAUCAGCAGGGAAGAAAAUGACGGUACCUGACUAAGAAGCCCCGGCUAACUACGUGCCAGCAGCAGC